AGCAUAUUUUGCUCAGGCGGAGCUCGACCGCCCGUUCCGGCGAUGAUCGCGUUCAUUGACGAUCACCGCGAUACCUAUGCUCGGCGGAUCAUCGGCUGGCGGGCCAGCA
The sequence is a regulatory RNA element, 109 nucleotides long. It matches the Rfam family "ALIL pseudoknot". The record is from Rfam.